RNAcentral lists this ribosomal RNA (112 nucleotides) under Hucho hucho (huchen). Lineage: Eukaryota; Metazoa; Chordata; Actinopteri; Salmoniformes; Salmonidae. The record is from RNAcentral.
CAACUCUGCAUACCACCCUGCAUCCCACUGCUGACUUGACUCUGAAGCUAAGCAGGGUUGGUCCUGAUCAGUCCUUGGAUGGGAGACCAGAUACUGCUGGAAGUGGUGUUGG